This 757-nucleotide ribosomal RNA is filed under the name uncultured Planctomycetaceae bacterium. RNAcentral's name for it is "bacterial SSU rRNA". It matches the Rfam family "Bacterial small subunit ribosomal RNA", at positions 46 to 814 of the family's 1533-position model. Lineage: Bacteria; Pseudomonadati; Planctomycetota; Planctomycetia; Planctomycetales; Planctomycetaceae. The record is from RNAcentral.
GGAUUAGGCAUGCAAGUCGUGCGGAAAGGCUCCUUCGGGAGUACUCGAGCGGCGAAAGGGAGAGUAACGCGUGGAUAUUUGCCCCCGGGACCGGGAUAGCGGCGGGAAACUGCCGGUAAUACCGGAUAACGUCUCCGGACCAAAGGUGUGAUUCCGCCAGGGGAUAAGUCCGCGUCCUAUUAGCUUGUUGGUGGGGUAAAAGCCUACCAAGGCUGAGAUGGGUACCGGGUGUGAGAGCAUGGCCCGGCUCACUGGGACUGAGACACUGCCCAGACACCUACGGGUGGCUGCAGUCGAGAAUCUUCGGCAAUGGGCGCAAGCCUGACCGAGCGACGCCGCGUGCGGGAUGAAGGCCUUCGGGUUGUAAACCGCUGUCAGAGGGGAGGAAAUGUCAUGAGGUUCUCCUCAUGAUUUGACCGAUCCUCAGAGGAAGUACGGGCUAAGUUCGUGCCAGCAGCCGCGGUAACACGAACCGUACGAACGUUAUUCGGAAUCACUGGGCUUAAAGAGUGCGUAGGCGGCUUGGCAAGUUGGGUGUGAAAGCCCUCGGCUCAACCGAGGAAUUGCGCUCAAAACUGCUUGGCUUGAGGGAGAUAGGGGUGAGCGGAACUAAUGGUGGAGCGGUGAAAUGCGUUGAUAUCAUUAGGAACACCGGAGGCGAAAGCGGCUCACUGGGUCUCUUCUGACGCUGAGGCACGAAAGCUAGGGGAGCGAACGGGAUUAGAUACCCCGGUAGUCCUAGCUGUAAACGAUGAGC